UUUCCGGUUGAUCCUGCCGGAGGUCAUUGCUAUCGGAGUCCGAUUUAGCCAUGCUAGUCGUGCGAGUUCAUACUCGCGGCACCGAGCUCAGUAACACGUGGCCAAACUACCCUACAGAGACGGAUACCCUCGGGAAACUGAGGCUAACCCGUCAUACCGAUCUCAGGCUUGAAUCGCAGAGAUCACCAAACGCCCCGGCGCUGUAGGAUGUGGCUGCGGUUGAUUAGGUUGACGGUGGGGUAACGGCCCACCGUGCCCAUAAUCAGUACAGGUUGUGAGAGCAAGAACCUGGAGACGGAAUCUGAGACAAGAUUCCGGGCCCUACGGGGCGCAGCAGGCGCGAAACCUUUACACUGCACGCACGUGCGAUAAGGGGACUCCGAGUGCGAGGGCAUAUCGUCCUCGCUUUCGUGUACCGUAGGGUGGUACACCAACAAGGGCUGGGCAAGACCGGUGCCAGCCGCCGCGGUAAUACCGGCAGCCCGAGUGAUGACCGAUCUUAUUGGGCCUAAAGCGUCCGUAGCUGGCUGCGCAAGUCCGUCGGGAAAUCCACUCGCCCAACGAGUGGGCGUCCGACGGAAACUGCACAGCUUGGGACCGGAAGGCUCGAAGGGUACGUGCGGGGUAGGAGUGAAAUCCCAUAAUCCCGCACGGACCACCGAUGGCGAAAGCACUUCGAGAAAACGGAUCCGACAGUGAGGGACGAAAGCCAGGGUCUCCAACCGGAUUAGAUACCCGGGUAGUCCUGGCCGUAAACAAUGUUCGCUAGGUAUGACACAGACUACGUGUCUCUGUUGUGCCGUAGGGAAGCCGAGAAGCGAACCGCCUGGGAAGUACGUCUGCAAGGAUGAAACUUAAAGGAAUUGGCGGGGGAGCACUACAACCGGAGGAGCCUGCGGUUUAAUUGGAUUCAACGCCGGGA
This 922-nucleotide ribosomal RNA is filed under the name uncultured archaeon. RNAcentral's name for it is "bacterial SSU rRNA". It matches the Rfam family "Archaeal small subunit ribosomal RNA", at positions 1 to 923 of the family's 1478-position model. The record is from RNAcentral.